This 683-nucleotide long non-coding RNA is filed under the name Selaginella moellendorffii. RNAcentral's name for it is "long non-coding RNA (SMOE_LNC000073)". Lineage: Eukaryota; Viridiplantae; Streptophyta; Lycopodiopsida; Selaginellales; Selaginellaceae. The record is from RNAcentral.
AAAAGCUUCUCCAAUUGCUAUUGCUUGGAAUUAAUUUCGUCAAUAGCUAUCUCUGGUAUUGGUUAUGCUGGGAUCCUUCGGUGCAUCGCGACGUAAGUUUCUUGCUCGCCGAGACAUCCUCCGUGGUUUAAGUCUCUCUGUUGAUCGAUCCAGGAUGGCGCCGAGAAGUAGAUGAGCACCGAGCGGCGUUAUAAGCUGCUGGGGGUCGAGAAGAUUAUCCAGAAGCGAUGGAAGGACGCCAGACUUUGUUUCCCUGGUCCAUUGUUGCACUUACUGGAACAUUAACUCCAAGCCCUCUACAGUAUGUGGCAGCUACUGAGCAGAUUGCUGGCAUUCUUGCUUCAAGCAUCGUGCAGGCCAAAGUUCCUGCUGUGAUCUGCUCACGAAUAGAGUGGUGAAUCGCGCAUGCAGAUUGAUUGUCAGAAUAACUCACUGUAGGUUCUUCUUGCUGCUGCUGCACACCGGCUAGAAGAUCAUGAAGCCCCACGGCCUCUUGAGCAGCCAGCGUCAAGGCUGUGUCACAGCAAUACCAUCGCUGCACACUGUCUUUGCUUCACAUCUAGGUUUGCUUAAUCAAGCUCAAUGGCUAUGGCCGACUCUAUCUCCACCGAGAGACUUUGGCUAGUAGGAUAGAAUGCCAUUGGUUAUGGGUAUCGAACCCCUGACCAUCGUAGGUGCAUUGC